UGUGGUGUGUGAAAAUAGAAAUAAGAGAAAUGGUUUUCAAGUGACUUGUUCUGUUUUGCCAGAGAGAGUCUAUAAUUAAUUAAAAACUCGUGAAUGUGAGAGGCAUAAUAAGCAUAGCAUUGAUUGCAAUUUGCAAUGGAACCGCCACUUUGCUUCCCCUCUUCGGAGCUUUCAUUGCUGACUCUUACCUUGGCCGCUACUGAACCAUAAUUAUAGCCUCCUCCAUCUAUAUUUUCGGACUAGGGUUGUUGACAUUGUCAGCUAUGCUUCCAUUAUCUCUGACAAAUGGGUUGCAAUUGCAAGUAAUGUUGUUCUUUGUCUCACUUUAUCUGAUGGCCAUAGGACAAGGAGGGCAUAAGCCCUGUGUUCAGGCUUUCGGAGCCGAUCAAUUCGAUCAACAGCAUCCAAAGGAGAACAAAGAUAGAAAAGCUCUUUCUUUAUUUGGUGGUAUUUUACCAUGUGUGCAGCAAGUAUGACAAGUCUUUGGAUCUUGAACUAUAUACAGGACAACAUCAGUUGGGUUCUAGGAUUUGGAAUCCCUUGUGUUGCCAUGAUCAUUGCAUUGCUUAUCUUCAUGCUCGGAUCCACCACCUACAGGUUUAACAUCCAGGGAAGUCCUGACAAGAGCCAUUUUCUCCGAAUUGGUCGUGUAUUCAUUGCAGCUAUAAGAAAUCGCUCGAGUAGCCUAGAGCAAAGUUCUGGACAAUUCAAUCAGCGCAAUUGUUGAGGCAUUACAAUGCUGCAAUUGUUGAGGCAAAGAUUGAAGACAGCGCAAGAGUAUGGUCUAGUUGAUAAACCAAAUGCAACCAUUCCAAUGAGUGUGUGGUGGUUGGUUCCCCAAUAUUUAUUUUUCGGAAUUUCGAAUGUUUUUACUAUGGUUGGUCUCCAGGAAUUAUUCUAUGAUUAAGUCCCGAAUGAGCUCAGAAGCAUGGGUCUUGCUCUCUAUCAUAGUGGUGGGGAGCUUUCAGCUUUCUAAUUUCAGUGAUACUUUUACUGGCUACUUGCUGGACUCAGUGUCAUGGGAUUGGAUCUUACAUUUAUAAGCUUUAGGACUCUCAUUCAUAUAUAUACUGUUAAAUUCUUUUAGACACUUGUAUAAGAUAAACUUCAAUAAAUUUGUAUCGAAUAGUAGAAUAAUUAAACAAGUUUUUUAAGACACAACCUUUUUGAGAAAACAAAUUUUGAGAAAACAGAUUUUUAUUUAAGAUCCAUGAUCCGACCUUUAUGAC
This is a long non-coding RNA of Glycine soja, 1229 nucleotides long. RefSeq lists it as uncharacterized. The transcript has 3 exons. NCBI's taxonomy places the organism in Eukaryota, Viridiplantae, Streptophyta, Magnoliopsida, Fabales, Fabaceae. The record is from RefSeq and is a predicted model, not a curated record.